This 501-nucleotide ribosomal RNA is filed under the name uncultured Anaerotruncus sp. RNAcentral's name for it is "partial 16S ribosomal RNA". The record is from RNAcentral. Lineage: Bacteria; Bacillati; Bacillota; Clostridia; Eubacteriales; Oscillospiraceae.
CACGUAGUUAGCCGGAGCUUCCUCUUUGGGUACCGUCAUUUUCUUCCCCAAAGACAGAGGUUUGCAAUCCGAAGACCGUCUUCCCUCACGCGGCGUCGCUGCAUCAGAGUUUCCUCCAUUGUGCAAUAUCCCCCACUGCUGCCUCCCGUAGGAGUCUGGGCCGUGUCUCAGUCCCAAUGUGGCCGAUCAACCUCUCAGUCCGGCUACCGAUCGUCGCCUUGGUGGGCCGUUGCCCCACCAACUAGCUAAUCGGCCGCGAGCCCAUCUUUCAGCGGAUUGCUCCUUUGGCUGCAUCGGGAUGCCCCAUCGCAGCGUUAUGCGGUAUUAGCAGUCGUUUCCAAUGUUAUCCCCCUCUGAAAGGCAGGUUGCUCACGUGUUACUCACCCGUCCGCCACUAAGCUUAUCUCUCGUCCAUCCGAAAACUUCUAGAAAUAUAAGCUCCGUUCGACUUGCAUGUGUUAGGCGCGCCGCCAGCGUUCGUCCGUGAGCCACGGAUCGAAA